AUCAAAAAAGUCUUGGAUAAAUUUCAACUUUUUAACUAAUGGCAUCUCAAGGAAAAUGUUUUAAGUCAAUCAAACAACAACUUGAAGAGUGAGUUUCUAUUUUCCUCGACAUUUCUUUUUCGUCUCUUCAUUUUUUUUAUUAAUCUUGAAUGUUUUAGGGCUCACAUGUGUUUUCUUUUUUUUGGUUUCUCAGGUCAAAGAGAGGCUGAGAUGUUUGAGGUUGCGUACGGGGCUUUUCUUUAGGAAUAUUCGAUACUAAAAGAAAGUAUCAAAAAUGCAAGUUGCCCUGUUUGUAAGGAGAAAAUAUCAGAAUACCUCAAAGAAAAAGAAAAUGACCGAGUAGGACCCAAGGGGAAACAUCUUUAUUUAUUGUAAGAAUUUAUAACAUAUGAUAAUCGUAGUUCUCCAAAAAAAUAACUUGUACUCUUAUGGUUUACUCUUAUAAAAAUUCAGCAAUAC
RNAcentral lists this long non-coding RNA (459 nucleotides) under Nicotiana tabacum (common tobacco). RNAcentral describes it as "long non-coding RNA (NTAB_LNC012084)". Lineage: Eukaryota; Viridiplantae; Streptophyta; Magnoliopsida; Solanales; Solanaceae. The record is from RNAcentral.